This 268-nucleotide ribosomal RNA is filed under the name uncultured bacterium. RNAcentral describes it as "partial 16S ribosomal RNA". It matches the Rfam family "Bacterial small subunit ribosomal RNA", at positions 87 to 353 of the family's 1533-position model. The record is from RNAcentral.
GAUGGCGACCGGCGCACGGGUGAGUAACACGUAUCCAACCUGCCGAUGACUCGGGGAUAGCCUUUCGAAAGAAAGAUUAAUACCCGAUGGCAUAGUUCUUCCGCAUGGUGGAACUAUUAAAGAAUUUCGGCCAUCGAUGGGGAUGCGUUCCAUUAGGUUGUUGGCGGGGUAACGGCCCACCAAGCCUUCGAUGGAUAGGGGUUCUGAGAGGAAGGUCCCCCCACAUUGGAACUGAGACACGGUCCAAACUCCUACGGGAGGCAGCAUG